AAGAGCUGCUUUCACACCCUAAUGAAAAAAAAAAUUAAUCUAAACAAGGAAAAAUAAAAAUCUUGUCGCACCCUAGAUUUAAAUCCCGUUGCUAUCUCCAAUCUCGGUUGCUCUUCUUGGAUUGACCAUCCUAGCAGCGAUUCUUGUCUACCACCAUACCAACUGCUCUCCGUUGCUAUGCAAUCGGUUCUUUAUACGAGUCUCUCUCCAAUUAGAAACCCAGAUCUGAACCCAGUUGCUGACAACCAGAUCGUUGGUCAAUAGAUGCUUUCAGGGGAACCCCCAGCAGAGGAAACGCUCUCCCUUUUAUCUCUCUCUGCAAUCUCUAGCUGAUGUCGAGAAUAUAUUGUAUAUUUUGCCCCUCUAUUGUGCAGAACACACUGAGCAAGGAGCUUCUCUGCCUUGCGUUUGAUUGUGCUGGGAAUAUAUUGUAUAUUUUGCUUUCUCUGCCUUGUGUUUAUUCUAAGUACAUUGUGUAACUUAUUGUACCUUCUUCCAUUCAUUUUGAUUUGCAUCUUGAUGUGAAAAUUAACUUGACACACAAAUUAAACGCUAUUGUUGAC
Molecule: long non-coding RNA, 563 nt
Organism: Pyrus x bretschneideri (Chinese white pear)
Lineage: Eukaryota; Viridiplantae; Streptophyta; Magnoliopsida; Rosales; Rosaceae
Exons: 3
Source: RefSeq, a predicted model, not a curated record